Molecule: long non-coding RNA, 305 nt
Filed under: Elaeis guineensis (African oil palm)
Lineage: Eukaryota; Viridiplantae; Streptophyta; Magnoliopsida; Arecales; Arecaceae
Description: long non-coding RNA (EGUI_LNC021576)
Source: RNAcentral
GUGCUAAAGGAGCCUCUUUUGAAUCAGAUCCAAAGGGAGGAGGCGAGAGUCCUACAUAACUUCAAGAUUCUGAUGCUGAAAGAGCUUCUGUCUGCACAAAUGCUGUUCAAUGCCGGCAUCAGCUAGACGGUCCCUCAAGGUACGCAUGGGUCACCUAUCUCAAGGCCCCGUAUUCUUUAAUUUUCACUUUACUCCUACGCUAUCCAUUUAGUUGCCUUAGCUGCAGAAAUAUUUGUGGAGAUGAGCCUGAAUGAGAUGAAAAAAUUGGAGAAGAAGGUCCCUAAAAAGAGGGUAGCUGAGCUUGU